UCGGCGGACCGGAUUGCUC
This 19-nucleotide non-coding RNA is filed under the name Arabidopsis thaliana (thale cress). The record is from RNAcentral. Lineage: Eukaryota; Viridiplantae; Streptophyta; Magnoliopsida; Brassicales; Brassicaceae.